This is a long non-coding RNA of Passer domesticus (house sparrow), 4253 nucleotides long. RefSeq lists it as uncharacterized. The transcript has 3 exons. NCBI's taxonomy places the organism in Eukaryota, Metazoa, Chordata, Aves, Passeriformes, Passeridae. The record is from RefSeq and is a predicted model, not a curated record.
GUAAAGUUAUGGAGAAGAUUAUUCUGGGAGGUAUUGAAAUUCACCUGAAAGAGAAUGCAGUCGUUGGCCACAAACAGCACAGCUUCAUUAGAGGACAAUCCUGCUUGUCAAACGUUAUUUUUACAAGCUCAGAAUGUGCACCCUUACUGAGUUAGAAAGUUAAUUCUCUGCUGUCCCUUGGAGAGAAGUUUGAUUGUCAGAUUAGAUGAAGUGAACAUUGAACAAAAUGAAUGGGUCUGCAGUAAGGAAAAUUAGACCAGUGAAUACUGGAUUGAUGCCAAUGUCUCAGAAGUAAAAGUGCUUGGUAAAAAUGGCACAGGAGCAUGGGGAAUGGAGGAUGCCGCCAGGUCAUCCACAAGCUGUCUCUGCUUCUCCUUUCUCUUCUGGGAGAGAACUCCUCACAGUCUGCCCCUGCUCCACUGUGGGGUCCCCACCAUGUGAGAGAGUGAUCUGUGAACUUCUCCAAGGUGAGUCCUUCCCACAGACUGCAGUUCUUCAUAAACUGUUGUGGGGUCACAAGUCCUGCCAGCAAACCUGCUCCAGUCUGAGCUCCUCUUUCUAUUGGGACACAAUUCCUGUCAGGAGCCUGCUCCAAUGCAGGCUUUUGUACAGAGUCACAGCCUCAUUUGGGCAUCCACCCACUCUAGAGUGGGGUUGUCCAUGGGCUGUAGGUGGAUCUCUCCUGCCGUGUGAAUUUCCAUGGGCUGCAGGGCACAGCUGCCUCACCAUGGAGCGCACCAGGAGCUGCAGAGGAAUCUCAGCUAUGGCGCCUGGAGGAACUUCUCUCCCUCCUUAACUGACCUCGGUGUCAGCAAUGUUGUUGCUCACAUAUUCUCACUCCUUUCGUCAUCUGCAAAUGCUGUGGAAAUUGAAAUGCAGCAACUUCGUCCCUUUCUUAUGUCUGUUACCCCAGAGCACUAUCACUGUUGCUGAUGGUCUUGGCCUUGGCAAGCAGCAGGUCCUCGUUCAAAAUGUCCCAGUUAGGUUAUAGUUUUUGGACUUAUUUCAAUGAAAAUUUCUCCUGUCACAAUAAAACUUUUAAGUACUGUCUAGUUAUAUAUAAAAUUUUGAAAUAACAUAAUGAAAUUGUUGCAGCUAGAGAAAUUAAAUACUUGCAAUUAAUUCACCUGUUUCUUUUUCUUUUCAUUUUGAUCUCUAACAGAAAGAAACCUUACUGAAGUCUUAAAAUCAGGAAAGAGACCUGAUUUUCAGUGGGCUCUUCUCUGUGAUUGUUAAAUUGAGAUUUUAAAAUAUUGACAUACUCAUAACUUGAAUACUAGUUUUAAUUUUCCUUGUAAUUUUUUGUUAGUGCCACAUAAAAUACUCUCUCUAGUUCUUAGUUAAGACUAAAAGGAACACUAGUGAGGACAAAGGUUGAAUACAUUGAAAAUGGUACACAAUUUUUAUUAGUAUUUAAAAAUAAGGAACUCAAAAUCACUAGUAAGAAUAAGCUUAUUCUGUAUAUAGAAUACUGAAAUUGACUAAGGUAAGUCUCUAAAUUAUACAUUUAAGUCUGGAAUAUAUUUUUGAGGAAUAAAAAUAGUAAUAUAUUUUUCAGUAUAUAAAAAUAAAAAAGGUUGUAGAAACAGACCAAUUUAAGGAAAUAGACCCAUUGCUUAAUUCAGUUUCUCAUGAAUCAAAAUAAAAUAUAUUCUGCAAGCCACCGGUGCUCUCCUAAGAAAACAGAAACUGAACAAAAUCAUAUUAAAAAAAUAUUUUUCUUCAACAUACUUACUUGUUUGGUGGCUGUUUAUUGUACACAUCUAUUAGUGUUCCAAUUUAUUUCAAUGGCCUAUAAAAAGAAAAAAUAGACAGGCAACAUUUUUCCCUCCCAGACUCCUUCCUGUAUUCCCAGCAGCACCCCAUCAGUCUCCUUGCAGAAAAGCUCUCAUUCAUCAACAUCUUUGGGAACACAGAACCACAGAGGCUUGAGUUUUUAUCUGGCAGCUUCACAGAAUGUGCGGCUAAAGCAGUAUUUUAGAAACUCCCUAGCACUUGGUAUAUACUAAUUUACAGGAAUUUGAAAAAAUUCCCAGCAUAACACAGCUUAUAUAAAUACUUUGACUGAAAACUUUCAAAACCAAUUUCAGUCUGAGAAAGCAGCGUUUCUCUCCUGCCUCUGUAUAUGUUCUUUAAUAGUAUUAUUCUAAACUUUGGCAGAGCAUAAGAUUAUUUUUUAAAGAAGCUGAAGAAAGUAUUUACUGAGUAUUAGAAACCAAAGUGUUUGGGGAGGCUUGAAACAAUUACGCAGUUUGAUAAAAACGGGAUAAACUUUUACUACUACCAGUGUAUAUAUUAAUAAAUAGGAAAUGUAAAGGAAAAAAGUCUUUUAAAACAUUUCACAAGAGCAACAAGAUAUAUUAUGGGGAAGAGGAUGCAUGCUCCUGAUCUUUCUCAGUUAAGAGGAUCAUUUAAGAGGAAGACUUUUUUGUGCUGCAAUGAUCACAGGGUAAUCCUUGAAAAUACCAACACUAGAGUACAUGGCAUUCUGCAUUCCAGUAUUCACUUCUAUCAUGGGAUCUAAAGGAUGCUGUUUGUCUAAGUGCAAACUGAAUCAUGUUCUGAACCUUCUGCCUGGGAAAAACAAAGAGCUGCCAGCCUCUGUUCACCACCUCUCAGAAGUUAUAGGUAUUCCAUGAAACACAUUUUUUCCUCUGACAAAUUUGUGUACAUGUUUCAGCCUAUAGCACUUCAAACAUUGCUGUUUGUCCAGAUAAUAUUUAGUUUCUUGUAUUUUGAGAACAAAAUAGUAAUAAUAAUAAUAAUAAUAAUAAAAACAACAAUAAAAAUAAAAUACAUUCUGCUUAUUCAAGUAAAGGAUUAUUCCUAACACAAUAUGCAGAAUUCAAGGAUGUGAAAAUGCAGCGAUAAAUUUUUCACAACUGAUUUUUUAAUCUGUUGUAACGUUUAUCACAUAUUUGAUUAUCCAAAAGAACAAAAAUAUUCUAUUAUGUAUUCUGGAGAGGAAAAAAAAAAGAUAAUUAAGACAACCUCUCAUGUAAUGCUUACCUGGUAAGUUUCUGAUUGUUCAUCUGUGAAAGGCCAUCACUGUUAAUAAAAAUGUGCCAUGUAGUACAAUGUAGCUAUGGGAAUCUUGAUUUAAUUUCUCAAUACACUAUUAAAUUGGAAUUUAUGACACCUUUAAACUAAAUGAAAGCACAGACAUCUAAUAAUUGUUUAGAGAACACCUGCUAAAUAAAGAUGAAUCUUGAACAUUGUCCAGAUCUUAAGUUACCAAAAGAGUGCAUUAUCACUGAUCUUGAUGGCAGCUGAGAAGAUCACUAAGGAACUUUAUUAAUAUUAGCUGCAGACUCAGACAAAGCUUGGACUUUUAUUCAUUCAAAGCCCUGCGUAGUUCUGACUAGACUUUCAUUUACUCUGAUUUGGCUCUUUGCUCUAAUCUUCAAUGUCAUUCAGAGUUUGUUUUCCACAUUUGUCCUUUUACCCAUUUUCAUUGCUUUAAUUUCCUCUAAUUUCCUGUUUUAAUUUCUUUCAGUCUAUCUUCAACUAGCUUUAGGUACCCUUCACCCUAUUGGAAAUGUGAAUUAAAACACUCUUGCUAGUCAGUUGUGUCUGUUUUUUUUCUUCUGCCUUCCUUUUUUUCAAUUAUUUUAGCUCAGAGCCCUUUUGGAAAGAAAUCCCUUAUAUUUCCCCAAGAAAAAGAGCUAAAAUACUGGGGCUCUGUGCUAUGCUGAUCCUUGGUUAAAAUCCUAAAAGGCAUGAUUCACUUACUAUCCACAAUAAUACUUGUUGUCAGCUUGAAUUAAAUACACCACAGUCUGUGUUUCAUACAUCCUUCCUUUUUAUGUCUGUAGGUUUAAAUUAGUCUCGAAGAUGAGACUGUCACAUAGGUAGAAGAAAUCUGCUAAGUUAUUACAAAUUACUUACCCCAAAACCAACAUUUCUGGUCUUAUAAAUAUGGCCCAGAGCAAGAAUUUUUUAUUCCAUUCUUAGACCUGUCUAUCUGCAUCUGCAAUUGACACCUAUAUUUGAAAGUAUAAUUUCAGUACCAAGAAGAUAACAAAUUACAUUCUCAAUACCUUUCAAUAGUGAAAGUUAACCUAAUAGUUAUCUGCUAAGGAUUAUUCUGGACUUGUGUUUUGUGUCACAGAACAUGGGCAGGUAACUCAGUAGGUUAGAUACAAACUAAAUUUGUUAAGAGUCCAGAGUCCAAUAAUUCACUAAGACUGUGGACAUAAUUCCACUGAAAUGCAGAGGAAUUUCAUUACAGGAAUUCAGUUGAUGUGGUGCUG